UAACACUUAGAAAUAGGUGCUAAAACCGCAUAAGCGCACAGUACCGCAUGGUACAGUGUGAAAAACUCCGGUGGUGCAGGAUGGACCCGCGUCUGAUUAGCUGGUUGGAGGGGUAACGGCCCACCAAGGCGACGAUCAGUAGCCGGCCUGAGAGGGUGAACGGCCACAUUGGGACUGAGACACGGCCCAAACUCCUACGGGAGGCAGCAGUGGGGAAUAUUGCACAAUGGGGGAAACCCUGAUGCAGCGACGCCGCGUGAGUGAAGAAGUAUUUCGGUAUGUAAAGCUCUAUCAGCAGGGAAGAUAAUGACGGUACCUGAGUAAGAAGCCCCGGCUAACUACGUGCCAGCAGCCGCGGUAAUACGUAGGGGGCAAGCGUUAUCCGGAUUUACUGGGUGUAAAGGGAGCGUAGACGGCAUGGCAAGUCUGAAGUGAAAGCCCGGGGCUCAACCGCGGGACUGCUUUGGAAACUGUUAAGCUGGAGUGCAGGAGAGGUAAGUGGAAUUCCUAGUGUAGCGGUGAAAUGCGUAGAUAUUAGGAGGAACACCAGUGGCGAAGGCGGCUUACUGGACUGUAACUGACGUUGAGGCUCGAAAGCGUGGGGAGCAAA
RNAcentral lists this ribosomal RNA (610 nucleotides) under uncultured bacterium. RNAcentral's name for it is "bacterial SSU rRNA". It matches the Rfam family "Bacterial small subunit ribosomal RNA", at positions 144 to 772 of the family's 1533-position model. The record is from RNAcentral.